GAGCUACUGUACUGGACGUACCUGCAGAAGAAGCACCGGCUAACUCCGUGCCAGCAGCCGCGGUAAUACGGAGGGUGCGAGCGUUAAUCGGAAUUACUGGGCGUAAAGAGUGCGUAGGUGGUUGACUAAGUUAUCUGUGAAAUCCCUGGGCUUAACCCUGGGCAGGUCAGAUGAUACUGGUUGACUCGAGUAUGGGAGAGGGUAGUGGAAUUUCCGGUGUAGCGGUGAAAUGCGUAGAGAUCGGAAGGAACACCAGUGGCGAAGGCGGCUACCUGGCCUAAUACUGACACUGAGGCACGAAAGCGUGGGGAGCAAACAGGAUUAGAUACCCUGGUAGUCCACGCUGUAAACGAUGUCAACUAGCUGUUGGUUAUAUGAAAAUAAUUAUGUGGCGCACGCAAACGCGAUAGU
Molecule: ribosomal RNA, 411 nt
Filed under: uncultured Legionella sp.
Lineage: Bacteria; Pseudomonadati; Pseudomonadota; Gammaproteobacteria; Legionellales; Legionellaceae
Description: bacterial SSU rRNA
Rfam family: Bacterial small subunit ribosomal RNA
Source: RNAcentral